This 70-nucleotide transfer RNA is filed under the name Loxodonta africana (African savanna elephant). It matches the Rfam family "tRNA". Rfam says of the family: Transfer RNA (tRNA) molecules are approximately 80 nucleotides in length. Their secondary structure includes four short double-helical elements and three loops (D, anti-codon, and T loops). Lineage: Eukaryota; Metazoa; Chordata; Mammalia; Proboscidea; Elephantidae. The record is from Rfam by way of RNAcentral.
GCUGCGGUGGUUCAGUGGUAGAAUUCUCGCCUCCAAUGUGAGAGACCCAGGUUCAAUACCAGCCAGUGCA